UGGGGAAUAUUGGACAAUGGGCGAAAGCCUGAUCCAGCCAUGCCGCGUGUGUGAAGAAGGUCUUCGGAUUGUAAAGCACUUUAAGUUGGGAGGAAGGGCAUUAACCUAAUACGUUAGUGUUUUGACGUUACCGACAGAAUAAGCACCGGCUAACUCUGUGCCAGCAGCCGCGGUAAUACAGAGGGUGCAAGCGUGAAUCGGAAUUACUGGGCGUAAAGCGCGCGUAGGUGGUUUGUUAAGUUGGAUGUGAAAUCCCCGGGCUCAACCUGGGAACUGCAUUCAAAACUGACUGACUAGAGUAUGGUAGAGGGUGGUGGAAUUUCCUGUGUAGCGGUGAAAUGCGUAGAUAUAGGAAGGAACACCAGUGGCGAAGGCGACCACCUGGACUAAUACUGACACUGAGGUGCGAAAGCGUGGGGAGCAAACA
RNAcentral lists this ribosomal RNA (427 nucleotides) under uncultured bacterium. Its description in RNAcentral is "partial 16S ribosomal RNA". It matches the Rfam family "Bacterial small subunit ribosomal RNA", at positions 355 to 774 of the family's 1533-position model. The record is from RNAcentral.